CGUCACGCCGUGUUGCAUUAUGGGACGUGGGCGCCAUCUUUACAGGCACGGUCUCUCUGUUUACCUUUUCGCCGGCCGUUCCUAUGGCAUUUAAAAGUGGGUGUGUUUGGGUGAGACAACGUAAAAUUGAAGAAGAACGGAAUAAAUGGAGAAGUUGAAACAAAAAGAGAAGGGACCCUACCGGGAAAAAUUGAAUGCCGCUGCUAAAAAACGUUAUUUGGACAAACUUUCCGCCAUAAACAACGUCGAUCCAUAUGAUUUGGCAGCCCAAGACUGGAUUACGGAUCCAGACGCACUACCUCCUCUCACAUAUCCGGACAUCGUCAAUUACCUUAGCUGUGACUUUAGUUAUUUGUGUAUACUUACCGAUUUUAAAGGCAUCUAAAUAUUGUUUUUCACUUAAGUUCUAACCUAUUUAAUAUUUAUUUGUGCCUUUAUUUAUUCAGAUUAUUUUCUGUUUUUUUUUUUUUUUUUUUUUUUAAAUAAAAUAUUAAAAAUAAAAAAUACAAAUAUU
Long non-coding RNA from Rhinichthys klamathensis goyatoka, 514 nucleotides. RefSeq lists it as uncharacterized. The transcript is spliced from 2 exons. The record is from RefSeq and is a predicted model, not a curated record. NCBI's taxonomy places the organism in Eukaryota, Metazoa, Chordata, Actinopteri, Cypriniformes, Leuciscidae.